This 863-nucleotide ribosomal RNA is filed under the name Fomitiporia rhamnoides. RNAcentral's name for it is "partial large subunit ribosomal RNA". It matches the Rfam family "Eukaryotic large subunit ribosomal RNA", at positions 76 to 915 of the family's 3401-position model. The record is from RNAcentral. Lineage: Eukaryota; Fungi; Basidiomycota; Agaricomycetes; Hymenochaetales; Hymenochaetaceae.
UCCCCUAGUAACUGCGAGUGAAGCGGGAAGAGCUCAAAUUUAAAAUCUGGCAGUCUUCUGGCUGUCCGAGUUGUAAUCUGGAGAAGCGUUUUCUGUGUUGGACCGUGUACAAGUCUCCUGGAACGGAGCGUCAUAGAGGGUGAGAAUCCCGUCCAUGGCACGGACUACCAAUACUUUGUGAUACGCUCUCGAAGAGUCGAGUUGUUUGGGAAUGCAGCUCAAAAUGGGUGGUAAAUUCCAUCUAAAGCUAAAUACAGGCGAGAGACCGAUAGCAAACAAGUACCGUGAGGGAAAGAUGAAAAGCACUUUGGAAAGAGAGUUAAACAGUACGUGAAAUUGUUGAAAGGGAAACGCUUGAAGUCAGUCGCGUUGUGCAGAACUCAGCCUUGCCUCGGCUUGGUGUACUUUCUGCAGAACGGGUCAACAUCAAUUUUGACCCAUGGAGAAAGGUGUGGGGAAUGUAGCAUUGUUUCGGCAGUGUGUUAUAGCCCCUCUACUGUAUACAUGGGUUGGGAUUGAGGAACGCAGCACGCCCUUGUGGCCGGAGGUUCGCCUCACGUACUGUGCUUAGGAUGUUGGCAGAAUGGCUUUAAGCGACCCGUCUUGAAACACGGACCAAGGAGUCUAACAUGCUUGCGAGUGUUCGGGUGGAAAACCCUUGUGCGUAAUGAAAGUGAAAGUUGGGAACCUCCGCAAGGGGGAGCACCGACGCCCGGCCCUGACGUUCUCUGACGGUGCUGCGGUAGAGCAAGUAUGCUGGGACCCGAAAGAUGGUGAACUAUGCCUGAAUAGGGCGAAGCCAGAGGAAACUCUGGUGGAGGCUCGUAGCGAUUCUGACGUGCAAAUCGAUCGUCAAAUUUGGG